UAGUACGGCGAGUGAAGCGGGAAGAGCUCAAGCUUAAAAUCUCCGUGCAAGUUUUGCGCGGCGAAUUGUAGUCUAUAGAGGCGUGGUCAGCGUGGGCGCUUGGGGCAAGUUCCUUGGAAGAGGACAGCAUGGAGGGUGAUACUCCCGUUCAUCCCUGAGUGGCUCGUGCGUACGACCCGUGUUCUUUGAGUCGCGUUGUUUGGGAAUGCAGCGCAAAGUAGGUGGUAAAUUCCAUCUAAAGCUAAAUAUUGGUGCGAGACCGAUAGCGAACAAGUACCGUGAGGGAAAGAUGAAAAGAACUUUGAAAAGAGAGUUAAAGAGUACCUGAAACUGCUGAAAGGGAACCGAAUCGUUUCCAGUGUCUAUAAUCCGUGGCAUAUUUCAUUGGCGAGUGUGCGCGUGCGUGUGCUGUGGCAGUGGCUUUUUUGGCUGCGCUCGGUGUGUGUGCUGUGUGUGCUUGCUGGUGCCCUGUGCUGCGGUGGGACGUCAAGGUCAGUUCGUAUGCUGCGGGAAAUGGCUGCCGAGGAGGUAGGGCUUACGCUCCGCGUUUGUCUGUUAUAUCUUGGUGGACGAGUCGUCGCGGUUGGGACUGAGGUGCCUACAACGUGCUUUUGAGUGGGUUUGUGUCUCCGUGUGCGCCGUGUGCGGAUAGCUUGCUAUGCGUGUGUGGUUGUGUGUGGAUUGAUGCGGGCUUUAACUUGUCGCCGUUC
RNAcentral lists this ribosomal RNA (710 nucleotides) under Phytophthora sojae. RNAcentral's name for it is "eukaryotic LSU rRNA". It matches the Rfam family "Eukaryotic large subunit ribosomal RNA", at positions 81 to 618 of the family's 3401-position model. RNAcentral also lists the same sequence under 1 other name. Lineage: Eukaryota; Oomycota; Peronosporomycetes; Peronosporales; Peronosporaceae. The record is from RNAcentral.